RNAcentral lists this long non-coding RNA (2247 nucleotides) under Homo sapiens (human). RNAcentral's name for it is "HSALNT0294506". The record is from RNAcentral. Lineage: Eukaryota; Metazoa; Chordata; Mammalia; Primates; Hominidae.
UGAGCUAUGAUUGCACCACUGCACUCCAGUCUGGGCGACAGAACCAGACCAUGUCUAAAAAGAAAAAACACUCAGUGAUAAUUUCACAUUACAGUUUGAGAGGUUCCUGUUGACUUGGGGAAACUAGUUUUAGCAGACUUCAUUAAAGGAGUGUACACCUUACUACAGGAUGUAAUUUAAAAUAGAAUGUUUAAAUAAUAAAUUCACUUCUGGGUAUAUACUCAAAGCAGGAAUUCAAACAGGUAUUUGUACACCAAAGUUCGUAACAGCAUUAUUCACAGUAGCCAAAAUGUGGAAACAACCCAAAUGUCCAUUAAAGGAUGAAUAAACAAAAUGUGAUAUACAUACAAUGGAAUAUUCAGCCUUUAUUUUUCCAAUCAGAGUUUCAGGAAAAUCAACCUUUAAAAGGAGUGAAAUUCUGACAUUUGCUGCCACAUGGAUGAAUCUUGAUGAUGAUAUGCUGAGUGAUAUAUAAUCAGUCACGGAAGGACAAAUACUGCAUGAUUCAAUUUAUAUCAGAAGACUAAGGGGCCCCACGGAGAGGCCCACAUGGAGAAAACUCAAUCCCCCCUCACCCGCUAUCCCAGGCUGUCAGCCAGCACCACCUUGUCUUGCCAGCCAUGUGAGUGAGCCAUGUUGGAAGUGAAUCCUCCAGGCCCGUGCUUUGCUAAUGACUGACCGGUGUGGAUGUAUAAAAGUCCAGCUCCGUGAUCUCAGACUUCCGGCCUCCAGAACUCAGGCCCUGACAUUGUAUAAGCUUCAGGCCCCACAAAACCUGGAUCUGCCCUGCCAGGAUCAGCAUCUAGAGGAAAACUACUACUUCCACAAUAGCACAACCAAUCUGAUCAUCCCUGCAUCAGUGAGCAUUCUCCAGAGAAACAGAGCCAACAGGAUAUGUGUAUAUAUGUGAAGAAAGACUUAUUUUAAGGAGUUGGCUCAUGCAAUUAUGGAGGUGCAAGUCCAAAAUCUGUAGGGCAGGCAGAUGGGCAGACUGGAGACCCAGAGAAGAGUUGCAGUUCAAGUCCAAAGUCGGUUGGAAGAAUUCCCUCUUGCUGGGUAACACUGGGGAAGCAGGAGUAGAUGGAAAGGGGAGGUGUCAGGCUUUGCUCUACCAAGGACUUCAACUGAUUGGAUGAGGCCCAGUAACAUUAUGGAGGGAAACCUGCUUUGCUCAGAGUUUACUGAUUUAAAUAUUAAUCUCAUCCACAAAAAAAUAAAUAACCUUCACAGAAACAUUUAGAAUAUUUGACCAAAUAUCUAAGUCCCAUGGCUCAGACAACUUAACACAUAAAAUUAUCCAUCACAAUUCCAUUAUCCCAAUACAGGUCGGCAGGGCCUUGGGCAGGUGGUAACCUCAGCUCUGGAGUCUACAGCAAUACUCUCACACUUAACAGAUGUAGUUCUGUGGGUCCAGGUCCCACUUCGCAAGAGAGAAUCUGAUGGGCUAAUUUCGACCAAGUCUCCUUUCCUAGUUCAAUCACGUGUAAGGGUUAGAGAAAGGGUUGGGCUCACAAGGGACUUAGGGCUGCCUCUCUGGACUUGGGAGAGCAGGACUUCUCAAGAGAUAAAUGGUUAGAGAGUAAUAUAAUUUGGAUAUUUGUCCCCUAUAAAUCUCAUGUUGAAAUUUGAUGUUCAAUGUUGAGGGCAGGUCUGGGACCUCCCUCCCUGCUUUUGCUCCCCCUCUCGCCAUAUGGCACAACUGCUCCCUUCACCUUCUGCUAUGAAUGGAAGCUUCCUGAGGCCUUCACCAAAAGCGGAGGCUGGUACCAUGCUUCACGCACAGCCUGCAGAAUCAUGAGCCAAAUAAACUACUUUUCUUUAUAAAUCAUCCAGUUUCAGGUAUUCGCUUAUAGCAACACAAAAUGGACUAAUACAGAGAGGAAAUAUUUUGAGCACAUUGAAGGCCCCAAAAUAUUGAGCUUUUUUUUUUUAACCUAUAUAGUACUUUUCUUGCAUCUCAGUUUGCUUAUCUAUAGAAUGAGGAUUAAUAAGACCUACCAACUUCAGGGGGUCAUUCUGGUGAGAUAAGUGAAAAAAUUUGUAAAGAAGUGUAUAAAUUUACCAUUGUUUUUUAAAACUAAAAUGAUCUCUAACACUAAGUUGAUGAUCUGAUCACAAAGAUGGGGUAGAUGAAAUGAAGAGAAAAGGUUUCUGACAUUUGUAUACUUAGAAAUGUAUCCAGGCUGGGCAUGGUGGUCCAUACCUGUAAUCCCAGCACUUUGAGAGGCCAACGCAGGAGGGUCACUU